Gadus morhua (Atlantic cod) is the source of this 697-nucleotide long non-coding RNA. NCBI's taxonomy places the organism in Eukaryota, Metazoa, Chordata, Actinopteri, Gadiformes, Gadidae. The record is from Ensembl.
UGACAACUGUCAUAAUCCUAAAAUAUCCAAAAACAACUGCUAGCUAUGGAUGGGAUUGGGAAAAUACAACGUCGUGCCGAAAAUUUUAAAGCGGACGAAAUAGAAAAGUUGGUGAGUUUAGUAGAAAGCUCAAAGGAAAUAUUGUAUGGGAAAUUUUCUAUGAGUCUGACCAAAGAAAAGAAAGACCAAGAAUGGCUGAAAAUAGCCGAAAAGGUGAGCACCGUAUCAGGGAUCAGUAGAAACGUUGAAAACGUCAAGAAAAAAAUUACCACACUCACAAUUGUCGUUAAGAAAAAAGCAACGUUAAUUUGUAAAGACCGGAGAAUUACCGGUGGUGGCAACUCUUCCGCUACCCCCCUGACACCGGCGGAGGACCGGAUUGUGGGACUCCUCAGCAAGGCUGACUACGAGGGCAUCGAUGGAGGCUUUGAGACUGGGUUGCCAGUGGACUUCUUGGAGACCACAACUUCAGUCAGUGAAGUUGUUGAAGUCGAUGCUACACAACCGCCUCCUGAAAAGAAAACACGUCCGCUGAAGUCAUCACCAGAAACCCUUGCUCUGCUAGAAAUUGAGAGGGAGAAGCUUCAAUUAUACAGAGAGAGAGUCGCCAUAGAAAGAGAGCGACUCCUCCUUGAGAGGGAAACAUUUGAAUGGGAGAAGAGUAGGGCCAGAGUGUGCAAAAAAUGUUUAACUGAAA